UAUGCAGUCGAGCGGAGUGAUGGUGCUUGCACUAUCACUUAGCGGCGGACGGGUGAGUAAUGCUUAGGAAUCUGCCUAUUAGUGGGGGACAACAUUUCGAAAGGAAUGCUAAUACCGCAUACGUCCUACGGGAGAAAGCAGGGGAUCUUCGGACCUUGCGCUAAUAGAUGAGCCUAAGUCGGAUUAGCUAGUUGGUGGGGUAAAGGCCUACCAAGGCGACGAUCUGUAGCGGGUCUGAGAGGAUGAUCCGCCACACUGGGACUGAGACACGGCCCAGACUCCUACGGGAGGCAGCAGUGGGGAAUAUUGGACAAUGGGCGCAAGCCUGAUCCAGCCAUGCCGCGUGUGUGAAGAAGGCCUUAUGGUUGUAAAGCACUUUAAGCGAGGAGGAGGCUACUGAAGUUAAUACCUUCAGAUAGUGGACGUUACUCGCAGAAUAAGCACCGGCUAACUCUGUGCCAGCAGCCGCGGUAAUACAGAGGGUGCAAGCGUUAAUCGGAUUUACUGGGCGUAAAGCGCGCGUAGGCGGCUAAUUAAGUCAAAUGUGAAAUCCCCGAGCUUAACUUGGGAAUUGCAUUCGAUACUGGUUAGCUAGAGUGUGGGAGAGGAUGGUAGAAUUCCAGGUGUAGCGGUGAAAUGCGUAGAGAUCUGGAGGAAUACCGAUGGCGAAGGCAGCCAUCUGGCCUAACACUGACGCUGAGGUGCGAAAGCAUGGGGAGCAAACAGGAUUAGAUACCCUGGUAGUCCAUGCCGUAAACGAUGUCUACUAGCCGUUGGGGCCUUUGAGGCUUUAGUGGCGCAGCUACGCGAUAAGUAGACGCCGGGGAGUACGGUCGCAAGACUAAAACUCAAAUGAAUUGACGGGGGCCCGCACAAGCGGUGGAGCAUGUGGUUUAAUUCGAUGCAACGCAUUACCGGCCUGACAUAGAAUUCCAGGUUGGUGCCUUCGGGACUUACAUCGGCUGCAUGGUGUCGUCAGCUGAGAGGAGUCCAAUUUGCAGUAUGUGGUUAAGGCAUCGGAGCCAUG
This 1027-nucleotide ribosomal RNA is filed under the name Pseudomonas sp. YSA5_2B10. Its description in RNAcentral is "bacterial SSU rRNA". It matches the Rfam family "Bacterial small subunit ribosomal RNA", at positions 54 to 1136 of the family's 1533-position model. The record is from RNAcentral. Lineage: Bacteria; Pseudomonadati; Pseudomonadota; Gammaproteobacteria; Pseudomonadales; Pseudomonadaceae.